This 254-nucleotide ribosomal RNA is filed under the name uncultured bacterium. RNAcentral describes it as "partial 16S ribosomal RNA". It matches the Rfam family "Bacterial small subunit ribosomal RNA", at positions 524 to 776 of the family's 1533-position model. The record is from RNAcentral.
UACGUAGGGGGCAAGCGUUACCCGGAUUCACUGGGCGUAAAGCGCGUGUAGGCGGCUGGCCAAGCGUGGUGUGAAAUCUCCGGGCUCAACCCGGAAACUGCACUGCGAACUGGCCUGGCUGGAGUGCAGGAGAGGGAUGCGGAAUUCCAGGUGUAGCGGUGAAAUGCGUAGAUAUCUGGAGGAACACCGGUGGCGAAGGCGGCAUCCUGGACCGGCAUUGACGCUGAGGCGCGAAAGCCAGGGGAGCAAACGGG